AACGAACGCUGGCGGCAUGCCUAACACAUGCAAGUCGAACGAGAUCUUCGGGUCUAGUGGCGCACGGGUGCGUAACGCGUGGGAAUCUGCCCUUUGGUUCGGAAUAACAGUUGGAAACGACUGCUAAUACCGGACGAUGACGAAAGUCCAAAGAUUUAUCGCCAGAGGAUGAGCCCGCGUAGGAUUAGCUAGUUGGUGUGGUAAAGGCGCACCAAGGCGACGAUCCUUAGCUGGUCUGAGAGGAUGAUCAGCCACACUGGGACUGAGACACGGCCCAGACUCCUACGGGAGGCAGCAGUGGGGAAUAUUGGACAAUGGGCGAAAGCCUGAUCCAGCAAUGCCGCGUGAGUGAUGAAGGCCUUAGGGUUGUAAAGCUCUUCUACCCGGGAUGAUAAUGACAGUACCGGGAGAAUAAGCUCCGGCUAACUCCGUGCCAGCCGCCGCUGUAA
RNAcentral lists this ribosomal RNA (449 nucleotides) under uncultured bacterium. RNAcentral's name for it is "partial 16S ribosomal RNA". It matches the Rfam family "Bacterial small subunit ribosomal RNA", at positions 29 to 523 of the family's 1533-position model. The record is from RNAcentral.